This 785-nucleotide ribosomal RNA is filed under the name Procambarus regiomontanus. RNAcentral's name for it is "eukaryotic LSU rRNA". The stretch from base 308 to 785 matches the Rfam family "Eukaryotic large subunit ribosomal RNA", at positions 665 to 926 of the family's 3401-position model. Lineage: Eukaryota; Metazoa; Arthropoda; Malacostraca; Decapoda; Cambaridae. The record is from RNAcentral.
GGGGACGUAACAAAGCGACCCAGGAAUGCUUGGGCGUGCCUCCACCCACGCCGGCGUCGGCGGGCGUAUUUCGCCUCACAGUAGGUCGCCGCGACCCGUUGCUUUUGGGGACGUCGAAGGCCCGGACGGAUUGGUACCCUACCGGCGGGGGAUGCGGCUUCGGCUUCUCCUCUCGUCCGGUGGGCGAAACCGCCGGUGUCCUGGCUGCCCUGCGACGGUCGUAGAGACGAGCCCUUCCCAUUCGUGGGGGGUGGCUCUCGCGGCGUGCAAAAGGUCGGUGAUCCACCCGACCCGUCUUGAAACACGGACCAAGGAGUCUAACAUGUGUGCGAGUCAGUGGGCGCACUAAACCCAGAGGCGUAAUGAAAGUGACACGGGUUCGGCUGUCGCCUCGUGUGGCAGUCGGACUCAGGGCCGAUCCCUCACCGGUUGGCCUCGCCUCUCUCUUCCGCGUCUCGGUAAGCCGGGUGAGCUAUUUUCCCCGGCCAAUGCUGCGGGGCGCGGGGGGAGGCGGGGUGCGAUGGUGUCCGUCAAAAAGAGCCUGCUGUUGCAGGGGGGCGCAGGCCCGGGACUUGCCAGGACGCCGCGAGACUGUCACUUUGCUGUGAGGCUCUAGGGCCGAUCAGCGGGUCAUGCGUGCAGUCGGCAAGUACCAUGAGCAGACAUGUUGGGACCCGAAAGAUGGUGAACUAUGCCUGGCCAGGAUGAAGCCAGAGGAAACUCUGGUGGAGGUCCGUAGCGAUUCUGACGUGCAAAUCGAUCGUCGGAGCUGGGUAUAGGGGCGA